This 379-nucleotide unclassified non-coding RNA is filed under the name Hevea brasiliensis (rubber tree). The record is from RNAcentral. Lineage: Eukaryota; Viridiplantae; Streptophyta; Magnoliopsida; Malpighiales; Euphorbiaceae.
AUCUCUUGCGGCAUCACGAUCACCACAUGGCCGCCGCCGAGAUCCACCAUCGGUACCACCGCAUCGGUAAACGGCAGCAGCAAUGUCGGCCCCUGCGGCGGCGCGAUUUCGAUGAUGUCGCCGGCGCCGAAAUUAUGGAUCGCGAGCACCUUGCCGAUCGCGGUGCCUGCCGGAUCGAGCGCGCGCAGUCCGAUCAGGUCGGCGUGAUAGUAUUCGCCUUCGUCCGUCUCGGGCAGCUUGUCGCGGGAAAUAUAAAGCUCAAGGCCAUUGAUGCGCUCGGCAUCUUCGCGGGUCGUGAUGCCCUUGAGCACUGCAACCAGAUGAUCCUUGGCAAUCCGGGCGCGCACCACUUCAAACUGACGCACGCCGUCUUUGGUCG